RNAcentral lists this long non-coding RNA (21374 nucleotides) under Cucumis sativus (cucumber). RNAcentral describes it as "long non-coding RNA (CSAT_LNC002644)". The record is from RNAcentral. Lineage: Eukaryota; Viridiplantae; Streptophyta; Magnoliopsida; Cucurbitales; Cucurbitaceae.
GGCAGAAACGAAAGAAAGAGGGAUGUUGGGGGAUUGGUGUAACCAAGAAGAGGUUUUGAAGCAUCCUUCGGUUGGAGGGUUUUUGACUCACAGUGGAUGGAACUCGACGAUGGAGAGUAUUGCGGGAGGAGUGGCUAUGAUAUCGUGGCCGUUCUUUGCAGAACAACAAACCAAUUGUCGUUAUUGUAAGACGGAGUGGGGAAAUGGGUUGGAGAUUGAUAGCAAUGUGAGGAGGGAGGACGUGGAGAAGCUUGUGAGGGAGUUGAUGGAAGGAGAAAAGGGUGAAGACAUGAAGAGAAAUGCGGAAGAGUGGAAGAGGAAGGCUGAAGAGGCUUGUAAGAAUGGUGGGUCAUCCCUAACAAAUUUAGAUCGAGUCAUUUCUGAAAUUCUUUCCAGCAAAGAGAAAUCAAAGCUUGAAUGUCAAAAUUAACGAUAUAAUUUCAUGUAAGCAUGGCUAGUAACAACGCUCAUGCCGUCUGGUCAAAUAGUUAAGCAUAUUAAUUUUCAUAAAUCUAAACGAAGAAACUUUUGUCUUCUUUGGCUUUUCCUAUUACUGAUGUGUUUGAUUUAUAUUGGUAUUGUUAUGGUUUCUUUAAUAUAAAUAAGUGGUGUUCAUUGGGAUGUGUGCCAAUGUGUUGUUGAAUAAUAUUGUAGAUCUCAAAGAAGGUUGAUGUCCAAUCUUAAUCUGUUAAAGUCAAUGAACUAUUUGAAAAAAGAUACAAUUAAGUAAAUUCUAACAAAGUGUCAUACAAAUUUGUAUAUAGACAUAUAAAUAAAUAUUUUGUCAUUGUUGCUGCAUUUAAAUUAUCACUUUGCUCAAAUUUGAUUCUAUAUAUCUUUUUUUCAUUUCGUUAAUCACAUAUGCAUGUCUCACUUUUAUAAAUGUAAAUUUUUUUUUAGUAAAUUUUCUGAUUUCGAGGAUAGUAAGUUGUGCAAGGUUUAUUACCAAAUUAGUAAAUAUUUGGUUUAAAAAAGAAUACAAAUUUUGCAUUUAAAAAAUUAAAUUUAAAAUCAGAUCAACAACCUCCUCUGAAAUUAGUUUUCAAAAAUAGAUCAACUCAAUCCAUAAACUUUUCAACAUGAAAAAAAUAAAACAUAACCAAGAUUAGAAUAAGAUCACAUACACGUGGUGUGAUCGAUCCUAUUCAUCGGCGUUAUUUAAAAAUAAAAAGAAAAAAGUAGUAAUCAAAUCAAAUUUCUAAACUAAUGAAAUACUCACAACACAAAAGAUCAGUGACAUGUGGUAUACUCACAACACAAAAGAUCAGUGACAUGUGGUAUCCAUCACUUCUGCUUUCUCUAACCUAUGAAAAGUUUAUGAAAGUAAAGACAACACAAUUUAUAUACAACUCCAAUUUCCCUUUCUCUAUCUAACUUUAUUUCCCUUUCCCUAUCUAACUUUUUCUUUAUUUUUCUUUUUAACGGUAUCUGUCUAGUUGGUAGGUGCAUCCAAGCAUUUUUACAAGAUGGUAUCGUUUUAGCACCUUCAUUAUUUUCUAUAAUGAUUUUAUUCAUUGAAGCACAAGGUACAUGAUGAUAAAACAAAAGGACUAGCGAUAAGCCAAAAGAAAGAAAGAUUCCUUUCUCUACCAAACUUUCCAUGAAUUGACAAGUCAAAUUUUAAUAAGUUUUUUUUCAAUUUUCGUGGUCAAUAUAUUAAUAUAUCAAAAAUUUUACGAUAAAAUAUUUUGUUAUAUUAAAAAAUAAUGUGCUUAAUUUGUGGUGGUUACAUAUCUAAGAAUUAAUUUUUUGCAGAGUUUUUUUUUUUUUUUAUAUAUAUUCAAAUGUUGUGGAUCAAACGGGUUGUCUUGUAAGAUUAGUAAAGAUGCACGUAAGCUGACUCGGAUUAAUUAAGUGAACAAAAAAAAAAUGUCUCUAUAUAAUUUAUUAUCAACAAUAGCUACCACACUCUUACUCAAUCACGAUUCAUAUUAUAUAAGAGAAAAAUGAUGUUGUUAGGGAAAGAAGUACUCCAUGAAAUGUUUAAAUACUAUUUUUCAUCUCUCAAUUUUGGUCCAUCAACUCUAUUCAUUUUCUGAAUUUCAAAAAUUAUAAGAAGACUAUUGUUUUUAUUAUUUAUAGAGGAUUUGAUCUAAAAUUUAACUUAGCUUUCUGAAAUUAGGAUGUGAAUUUUUCCUAAUUUCAAACUAGCUAGAUCUUAUCUAUUUUAAUUCUUAGCUUUAUUCUAUGGAGCCAAAAUUCACCCAUAACAUUAACUUCUACACCAAAGUAUUAUUUCAAAGAUGAUACCUAUCCUAGUCUCGUGCAGUGAUUCAAAUUUAAAAGUAUUGUUCUAGCCUUUUCGUUAUACGACGUAUACAAACUUUAUCAAACUAGCAGUAACUAAAUCGAACUUGGCUUCUCCAACAUCAUUUUCAGAUCUUUGGCCAUAUCUCUUCAAUAUCUAAUCAAGUCCUUUUUUCUUCUUUUUGAAGACCCAGUUAGGUAAUUGUCUCUUGAUGCUCAUAAUUUAUGUUAUAUAACCUUUUUUAUUGCAACAGAUUAAACAUAUGAGCUUAGAUCUUUUAUAGUUUAGGGGUAGCCCCUAGAGCCCCUGAUAAUUAUGAACUCAUAAUGCAUAUGAAACACACAUGUUAUCAAACAAUUGUAAGGCUGUUAAAGCAACAUUAAACCUCAAACCCCUUCCACAUAUUAUGUUUGUAGAAUAAUAAUGAAAAGAGACGUACUGCUAUAUCUAAUUAACUUCAAUAAUGUUAACAGUUUGUGGAAAGAAAAGUAUAGGUUGAAAGAAAAAGACACAUAUUUUUCUAUUCUCAGAAUUUAAAUUCAAAAAUGCUAUAUCCAAUUAUAUAUAUAUUUGCAAAGCAUGGUAAAAAAUUAUCAGAAAUGUGUUUAAUUAAAAAGAACAGAAAACAAAAUGUAAACACUUGUUCCAACUUGUCACAUUUUUCUUCUACUUUAUUAUUGCUUUCUACUCUAGACCUAAGCAAAGUUUGAAAGCUAAAACAAAUAGUUUUAAAAAUUUGUUUUGUGUUUUCAAAUUUGGUGUAAAAGUCCAACUAUCUUACUUAAAGAAAUAUGAAAACAUGAUAUGAAUUUAGAAUAAACAAACAUAAUUUUUUAAAUAAAAACUAAAUAGUUAUUAAACAAUUUUAAAAUUGAAAUAGUUAGUUUAAAAUUAUUAUUUAAAUUAACAAUAAAGAUUCCUAAAAUUAUUGCUAGAUUAUUUAACUCGACUCAUCACUUACUUUGUGAAAGAAAAUAUGAGUUUAACAACUCAUUAUAAAAAAAUGUUUCUAUUGUAUUGAAAUGGUUAUAAAUUUUUUUAUUGAUGGUCGAAAUUGGCAAGUAGCGAUUGAUAAUAGUGUCAAAAGUGGCAAUAAUCAGAGAUCAUCGAAGAUGGUGGUAGAAAGUUGGCUACUUCUCGAUGACACACAAUUGUCAGAGGUGGGUGGCCAAGAUCAUCAAAGAUUCGUUAACAAUAAUUGACCCAUUGGUAGUGACUAGAGUUGUUGCUCAUAUAAAUUAGAGAAAAAGAUAAUCACUAAACACUCAAAAUAAUUUUUUAAAAGGUUGAUUUCAAAUAUUAGUCCUAAACCAAGUUUGAGUGCAUCAACUUAACCAAAAUAUUUUUUUUUAUAAAUUUUCAUUUAUUUCAAAAUUCAUAUUAAAUGGUUCUCAAACACAUGGAUUUAUCUCAAAAACAUCUUUUAAAACAAGUUAAUUAAAGGUAUUUCAAACAUAGAGAAAUUCAAUCAAUUUCAAUAGAUCAAACAAACAUGUACAACUUUACCAAUCAAAUCAAUGGAAGAGUCCAUGAGCAUCUUAUCAAACAUAUUAUAAGAUUAGACUUAAUCGUAGAAAAUAAAGCUUAAUCUUUAAUGAUUAGAAAAGUCCAAUAUAUUGAAUUCAAUAGAAUUUGAUACAUAGAGUUAUGGGUCCGUUCGAUUUACUUGAAAAAAAAAAGAACUUUUUAAAGAGUUCUUUUUGUUAAAACACAACUAAAAUAAAGUAGCAAACUUACCUCUUUCAAUUAAUGUAUAGAAACCAUAUACUAAAAAAUAUUUUACUAAUUUUCAUUAUCGUAGAAGACCUACUACAAAAUAUUAUGUUUAGGAACAAAUUUAUUAAGGGGUUAGCGUCAAUAGCAGCGUACGUGUCUCUUUACAUUAUUGUUUUUUGUAUUUUAAUAUUAAUUUUGAAGUGUCAUAUUUUAAAUGUUCUGGUGUAGUGGUUGUGCACCACUUUAUAUAUACAUAGAGGGUUCAAAUUUUGCACAACUACUUUUACAAAAUACAUUUUAUUCUAAACAUAAACAAUUUUUCUUUCCCCUCCAAAGACUCCAAAAUGUCAAUUUAUUGACAGAAUUGAAUAGCGUCAUAAAAAAUAAUUUAAAAAAAAAAAGGGAAUGAAAACCUAACUUAUUUUCUAACCUCCUUUGUUAUUUAACAAAUAUUUUUUAAAAAAUGUAUUAAACUUCUAUUCUCUCAACAACAUUCGAUGAAAGAGAUAUUUUAUUUUAGGUAAUUUUUAAAUUUAUAUUAACAUUAUAAAAAAUCAUGUGAAAGUUGUACAAAAUUGUACAGUUUUUUCUUUAUUAUUACAAAUUGAGUGAAGGUUGAUCAUCAGUGAAAUGUGAAAUUUUUUUAGUGUAUUUAUUAUAUAGUGUCGAGUGUCCUUGUAUAAAAUUUCUUGAUCCGUAAGGAUAUACUAAUAGUUAGUCUUCUACGAUGGUUGCUGUCAGAAUUGGUGGUGGUUUCUAGAUAUGGUUGUUGAUGGUAGCCGGUGUUGGCUGACAGAGAGCAGUAUAGCCACAAAAACAAAGUAAAACUCAAAGGAAUUUCCUGCUGGAGUUUAUUAUUAUGACAAACUGGUCAAUUUAGCAUUAUUAUCUUAGCAUUCCUGUUGAGGAUAGCCUUAGUGAUUGAUUGGUAUGCAUUUCAUCUUCUCAUUUCAAACUAUCAAUCAAUUAAUUAACAUUUUCUAAUUAAGUUGGCUAAGCAUGAGAUACAAGUAAAAUCAAAAUAGUUACUAGCAAGAAGGAACUCCAACAAGAACCAACCCAGAUUCUCCUUUAUUCUCACAUCGUUUACAUUUACAUCUAAUGCAAAUUUUAUUUUUCAUGCCAUUUUAGUUCCUUACAAGCUUCAAUAAACCCCCCCUCAGGUUAUCUUGGAGCAUGAAUCGAGAAUUUGAAUUGAGAAAAAAAAAAUUAUGUGGAUUCGAUCUGUACUACCACUACUACAAAAGCAAAAAGGCAAGGAAAAUAAUACUAAAAAUGUACAAACAAUUGUAAAAGACAAUCAUCAUCUUGGACCAGACAACCACAUCAGGAGCAAAAUGAGAAAUGGAAACAAUAAACUGGGGAGAUCUACUCCGGUGGUAAGAAUGAACCAUAUUAUUGAAGUUUUGGCGUGAGCUCUCUUCUUUCUGCCAUUCCUGCCAUCUUUCAGCUAAACCAUCGCCUUCCAGCAUUUGCAACACCUCCGACAUUUUCGGUAGUUCCACCGGGGAGCUUUGCGUGCAAAGCACAGCAGCAACUUGAAUUACCUGCUCCAGUUCUUCCUCUAUGUAAUUACCCAGGAGAUGGGGAUCGUCAACCAACGUUGCCAGUUUCUUAUGAUUUAGAAGUCCUUUUACCUUUAGUUUUGAGUUCAUAUCACAGCCAACUUGUAUUAUGCAAGUGUUUGUUUAUUACUAGGAAGAUCAAAAUACCACGGAUCAACAAGAAAAAACAUGUAAAAAUGUACUGAGUAACACUAAAACUCUAUCAGAGAUACUGAUGAGAAUACAAGAGGAUCAAUUGAAAGUAAGCUUGUGGGAGAAAUUGCAAAACAAGUCCUCAAGAAUAAGAGAUAUUACAAUCUCAUUGACAAAACACACUCUCAGCAAACUGUAAAGUUCGGGAGAUUUUAGAAUCUUGUUGUUUCAAUAGAAUAUCGCCAUGAGGCCUUUUACACAUCAUCCAUGUCUUUGAUUGAAUGAGAAAAGGCUGAGUAAGGCAGCCAUAUAACACCCAAAUUCACAGUUAUUCUAAACGUAUUUGUGAGAAUCCUAUCUAGUUAGAGGUAUAUAGGUAAGAUUAGUAUAUGAUAUUAAUAAAAUGUAUUGUGGGUCAUUAGGUAUUCAUCUGUUGGAUAUAAAUAGUGGGAGUUGUGGACCAUAGAACAUGUAGAUGAUUUUGGUGAAAGUUUCCAAUGGGAGACUUCGGGAGAGAGAUAUCCCUCUCGAAAGGCUACUAGUAUAUUGCCUUUUUUUUUUAAUAUUGCAAUAUAUUGCUAUCUUUUGUAUUCUUUUUGUAGAGUUUUGUCGUUAGGUUGGUAUUUUAUUCUAAAAAGAGAUUUGAUUCUGUAUAUUAAUGUAAAUAAGGUUUAGUUAUUUUGGGUAAUGAUAUUAAUGUAAAUAAAGUAGGUUUAGUUUAUUUGGGUAACUAACCUUGUAUAAAUACACUCCCUUUGAUCAAUCAAAUAGAUAAAGAGAAUAUUCUUCAGAAUAUACUUUCACAUGGUAUCAGAGCUAGGGUUUUUCAUCUUAGCCGCCGCCGCCGCCGUCGCCGCACACCCGUGAAAGUCUCCGUCUCCGUCUCCGUCGCCGUCGCCGCCCACUCGCAGCCGUUCCGUCAUCGUCAUCCUCAUCGCGCCGCAGACAGCUUCGAUCUGUCUCCAGCCCUUCCGCGCGCCUUGCAGACAGCUCCGAUCUGUCUCCAGCCACAACAUCGGCGUCGCGCCGAUCAGCAGCAGCCUCGGCAUCGCAGCAGCCUCGGCAUCGCAACAUCGGCCGUUUCCGCUCCGAUUCAUCUCCAUCCGCGAGGCAGCCGCAUCGUUUCCGCUCCGAUUCGUCUCCAUCCGCGAGGCAGCCGUACGCGUCACCUUCCGAUUCGUCUCCAUCCGCGAGGCAGCCGUACGCGUCACCUUGCGGCCGCCGUCCAGAUCUGUACCGCAAAACCUUCCGCCGCUGCCGCCAUUGCUCUUCCGCCGCUGUCCAGCCGUCUCAGCCGGAUCUGCCUCCGUUGGAAACCCUAUCUUUCCAAGUUUCUUUGAUUUCAUUUUUCGCAGAUCUAGCUCCGUCUUCCACUCUGUCGAUGUUUCGAAGUUCGUAGAUCGAUAGAUCUUUUGUAGAUCUACACGCUGAUCGUGGUUUCUUGUCGAUUCGGUCUCUGGUGACAGAUCUGCACGGUUCAACACCAGAUCUGACGAAUCCUUCAGCCGUUUGUCUUCAAGUUUUUUUUGUUGUUUGUCUCCGUUCCCAGCCGUGCACCCCUGAAUCCAGUCACGGCCGAAAAUCCGCAUUGUUAACCCCAAAUCAAAAUGGAGAGAGACCAUAUCUUUAGACCCAUUUCUACCAUACUUGAUGGUACAAAUUAUAUCACAUGGGCAAAUCAAAUGAAAAGUUUUCUUAUUGGAAGAAAACUAUGGCGCAUUGUAACUGGCGACAUCACCAAACCAACUGCAAAGGAAGGGGAUAACACAUUCAUUGAACGUCUCGAAGAUUGGGACAGUAAAAAUCAUCAAAUUAUCACCUGGCUUGGUAACACCUCUAUUCCCGCUAUACAUGCACAGUUUGAUGCCUUUCAUGAUGCUAAAAUAUUAUGGGAUUUUUUGUCUACACGCUUCAAGUCUAUUGGUUUAGCCCAUUAUUACCAACUGCACAGUACACUUGUAAAUCUAAAUCAAGAUUCUGGUCAGUCUGUUAAUGAAUAUUUGGCAGUUCUUCAACCCAUUUGGACUCAACUUGACCAAGCGAACAUCAGCAAAGAUCAUCUUCGCCUUAUUAAAGUCCUUAUGGGAUUACGUCCAGAAUAUGAAUCUGUUAGAGCUGCUUUACUACACCGGAAUCCCUUACCCUCAUUAGAUGCAGCUAUUCAAGAAAUUCUGUUUGAAGAAAAGCGUCUUGGCAUCAACUCUACUAAACAAUCUGAUGUUGUCCUUGCUAGCACAUACACUCCCAACAGAGCCGCAAAUAUGUUUUGUAAGAAUUGUAAGCUCUCUGGUCACAAAUUUAGUAACUGUCCUAAAAUAGAGUGCAGGUACUGCCAUAAACAUGGCCACAUUCUGGAUAACUGCCCUACCAGACCACCCCGACCUCCUAGCACUUCCACAAAAGAGAAAAUUUUUACCAAACAUGGUUCCUCAUCUGUUGUUGCUGCGACCUCGGAUGAUUCAUCCCCAUUCAGAUAAGUGAUCUUCAGAGCUUAUUGAAUCAACUAAUUUCAUCAUCAUCCGCUCUGGCUGUUUCAUCAGGUAAUCGAUGGCUUCUUGAUUCUGCCUGUUGUAAUCAUAUGACCUCUGACUCUUCUCUUAUGUCUACGUCUAGCCCUACAAAAUCUUUACCUCCUAUUUAUGCUGCUGAUGGUAAUUGUAUGAACAUCUCUCAUACUGGUACCAUUGAUACUCCCAGUGUACAUCUUCCCAUACUUACUGUGUUCCUAACCUGACCUUUAAUCUAGUGUCUGUUGGUCAAUUAUGUGAUCUGGGCUUAAAUGUUUCAUUUUCUCCCAAUGGUUGUCAGGUUCAGGAUCCGCAGACGGGACAGACGAUUGGAACGGGUCGCAAAGUGGGAAGAUUGUUUGAGCUCACAUCACUUCGGAUUUCAUCUCCUUCUUCCAUCUCUGCUUCGGUCACUGAUUCUGACACAUAUCAGUGGCAUCUUCGUCUUGGUCAUGCUUCCUCUGAAAAACUUCGUCAUUUAAUUUCUGUUAACAAUUUGACUAAUCUUACUAAAUUUGUUCCUUUUAAUUGUUUGAAUUGCAAACUUGCUAAACAACCUGCCUUAUCUUUUUCUCAAUCCAUCUCUAAUUGUGAUAAACCUUUUGAUUAGUGCAUUCUGAUAUUUGGGGUCCUGCCCCAAUUACUACUGUUCAUGGUUAUCGCUACUAUGUUUUAUUCAUUGAUGACUACUCUCGAUUUACAUGGAUUUACUUUCUAAAACAUCGUUCUGAAUUAUCUCGCACAUAUAUUGAGUUUGCUAACAUGAUUCGCACUCAAUUUUCCUCUCCCAUCAAAAUUCUUCGCACUGAUAAUGCUUUGGAAUAUAAAGAUUCCAUCCUUCUUUCUUUUCUUUCCCAACAGGGCACUAUUGUUCAGCGCUCUUGCCCUCAUACCUCUCAACAAAAUGGACGUGCUGAGCGCAAACAUCGUCACAUUCUUGACUCAGUACGUGCCCUCCUUCUUUCUGCCUCUUGUCCAGAAAAAUUCUGGGGUGAAGCUGCCCUUACAUCAGUAUAUACAAUCAAUCGUCUCCCUUCCUCUGUCCUUCAAAAUACCUCUCCGUUCGAAAAACUAUAUGGUAUUUCUCCCGACUAUUCUAAACUCAAAGUUUUUGGUAGUGCCUGCUUCGUUCUGUUACAUCCUCAUGAACACAAUAAACUUGAACCACGUGCCCGUCUCUGUUGCUUCCUUGGCUAUGGCACCGAACACAAAGGAUUUCGUUGUUGGGACCCUCUUUCCAACCGACUCCGGAUAUCUCGGCAUGUCACUUUUUGGGAACACACUAUGUUCUCUCGUUUGUCCUCCUUCCACACCUCCUUCUCUAGUCCUCAAUCUUUCUUUACAAACACAUCUGUUGACCUUUUUCCUCUCUCUGAACCCACCUUGGAUACUGAGCUUGCACAAUCUUCACCUGCUACUGCAAAUCUGGAUCCACCGUCUGUCUCCGAUGAUGUUCCUGAAUCGCCACCUGCUACUCCUCUUCGUCGCUCUACCAGGGUAAGAGAACCUCCCCCUCAUCUCACUGAUUACCAUUGUUUUUCUACCAUUGUUUCCCUUGUUGAACCCACCUCUUAUCAAGAGGCCAGUAUUAACCCAGUAUGGCAGAAAGCAAUGGAUGAAGAAUUACAGGCUCUUGAAAAGACGCACACUUGGGACUAUGUUGAUUUACCUCCCGGUAAAAGACCCAUUGGUUGCAAAUGGAUUUACAAAAUCAAAACUCACUCUGAUGGAACUAUUGAACGUUAUAAAGCUCGGCUUGUUGCAAAAGGAUACUCACAAGAAUAUGGGAUAGACUAUGAAGAAACAUUUGCCCCUGUUGCCCGGAUGACAUCUGUUCGCAGCUUGUUAGCUGUUGCUGCUGCCAAACAGUGGCCUCUUUUUCAGAUGGAUGUCAAAAAUGCAUUUCUUCACGGCAACCUAUCUGAAGAAGUGUAUAUGAAGCCACCUCAGGGAACUUCUCCUCCUCCCAACAAGGUGUGUCUCCUUCGUCGCGCUCUAUACGGUCUAAAACAGGCUCCACGAGCUUGGUUUGCCACGUUUAGCUCCACCAUUACUCAACUUGGAUUUACCUCCAGCUCUCACGACAAUGCCCUUUUUACACGACAGACAACUCAUGGUAUUGUUCUUCUCCUUCUUUAUGUUGAUGAUAUGAUUAUUACUGGUAAUGAUCAACAGGCCAUAUCCGACCUACAACAAUAUCUUGGUCAACAUUUUGAGAUGAAAGACCUUGGAUCUCUCAAUUACUUUCUCGGUCUUGAAGUCUCUCACCGUUCAGAUGGUUAUCUGUUAUCUCAAGCGAAAUAUGCAUCUGAUCUAAUAGCACGCUCAGGAAUUACAGACUCCACCACAUCUUCAACACCGUUAGAUCCUCAUGUCCAUCUAACUCCGUUUGAUGGUGUUCCUCUUGACGAUGCAAGCUUGUAUCGGCAACUUGUUGGCAGUCUUAUAUACCUAACAGUAACUCGCCCAGAUAUUGCAUAUGCUGUUCAUAUUGUCAGUCAAUUUAUGGCUGCUCCUCGAACAAUUCAUUUCACUGCUGUUCUACGCAUACUUCGCUAUGUCAAAGGCACCUUGGGACAUGGUCUUCAAUUCUCAUCUCAGUCUUCCCUUGUGUUGUCGGGAUAUUCUGAUGCUGAUUGGGCGGGGGAUCCUACUGAUCGACGAUCCACUACAGGAUACUGUUUUUACUUAGGUGAUUCUCUCAUCUCAUGGCGUAGUAAGAAAAAAGUGUUAUAUCUCGUUCCAGUACGGAAUCUGAAUAUCGUGCUCUGGCUGAUGCUACAGCUGAACUUAUAUGGCUUCGGUGGCUCCUUGCCGAUAUGAGUGUCCCUCAACAGGGUCCUACCCUCCUCCAUUGUGACAAUCGUAGUGCCAUUCAGAUUGCUCACAAUGAUGUGUUUCAUGAACGUACAAAACACAUUGAAAAUGACUGUCACUUUGUUCGUCACCACCUCUUAAGCAACACCCUCCUCUUACGUUCUGUUUCUACUAUUGAACAACCUGCGGAUAUCUUCACCAAAGCCUUGCCAUCUAAUCGAUUUUGUCACUUACUUACCAAACUCAAGUUGAUCGCUACUCUACCACCUUGAGUUUGAGGGAGGGUAUUAAUGUAAAUAAGGUUUAGUUAUUUUGGGUAAUGAUAUUAAUGUAAAUAAAGUAGGUUUAGUUUAUUUGGGUAACUAACCUUGUAUAAAUACACUCCCUUUGAUCAAUCAAAUAGAUAAAGAGAAUAUUCUUCAGAAUAUACUUUCACACUGUAAUUAGUUGUCUUAUUAUGUAAGAUGAAUUCAAUGGCCAGAGAACCAUCCACUCCAAUUCCCCACUCUAAGCCUGUGUCAAUAAAGAGAUUUGAUUAUGUAAUUAGUUGUGUUAUUAAUAUUGCCUUGAAUGGAAGAUAUGAACUCUUGUUGUAACCUUCACAAAUUUAUUCUUUUCAUCACAAAUUUAUUCUUUCCCUGUAUGUAACUUAUUCACAUUUGUAUAUAAAUAUUCAUUAAGGUUUGUGUAUAAAUAUUCAUUAACUUAUUUUCUCCUUUGAUUAAGGUUUUAGUUUGAUCUCUACGGUAUCAGAGCUACUCUUGUGUGCUAAUAGAAAAACUUGUCUCACAAAGCUGAAAAUUUUUUCUAUGGCCAUGGAAGAAAAAGCUCCACAAUUCAAUCUUUUCAUCGGACAACUAGUCUCAUUUCAAUCAAACUCAACGAUGAAAAUUAUCCCUUAUGGAAAUCCCAAGUUGCUACCAUUAAUUAAGAGUAUGGGUCUUGAACACCAUAUCUCACAAAGGAAAAGAAACAUGACGAUGAAGCUGCCAGCGAACAAGGAAGAAAGCUCCAAAGAUGAUCAUAUACUCCCACAGUUUGGAUCAGAAAUGAUGAGCUCCUUAUCUCUUGGCUUGCUGGGGAUAAUCUCAGAAGAUGUUUUGAACAUGAAAACAACUCAACCCGCCCCUUCCCCCAAUUAAUUACCUCAGCUUAAAAAUAAUUUACUUAAGAGAUUUUCGUGCUCCUUGAGUUCGACCGAGACUUUAUUACCACUAGAACUACCUCUUGGUGUGUAAUUAGGUAAAUUAUUUGAUUCGGAUUUGUUACGCUGAUGAAAUCUGCUCGAUCACACCACAUAUAUGUGGCCUUAUUCUAAUCUUGAUUAUGUUUUAUCUUUUUCAUGUUGAAAAAUUCAUGGAUUGAGUUCAUCUGUCUUUGAAAACUGAUUUUAGAAUAUGUUGUUCAUCCAUUUUGAUUUUGAAUUUAAUUUUUUAAACGUGGAAUUGAUAUUCAAGUUUAUAAGAAUAGACUUAUUUGAUAAUAAAAUUUAUAAUUUUACCUUUUUAGUCUCUAUGUUUUUAAAAGUAAGUUUAACCGGUCAUAAAAGUAUUUUUUAUUUGAUUUUUCAAAAAUAAUUAUUUGAUAUUUAAAAAUAGAAAAAAAUUGUUUUAAAGAGAAAGAGCAUUUUAGAAAAUAACAAAAUAAAUUAAAAUAUUUACAAACUAUAACAAGAUUUUUGAAUUCUAUCAAUGAUAGUCCACAAAUAGAAGAAUAUCACUGGCGAUUAAAUGUUUGUUAUUGAUAAAAUAUGAAGUUUUGCUAUAGCUUUUAAAUAUUUUGUCAAUUUUGUUAUUCUUUACAAUUCUCCUUUGGAGAAUAUGAUUUUUAGAAAUUAUUCUUCUAAUCUACUCAUUUUUUAAAACUCAAAAACCAAAUGUGUCUGCUCUUUAAAACUUGGGACUUAAAAUAUACUUUUUCCAAAUAAAUAUGAUUGAAUGCAUUGUGUUGUUUUUAAAUAUUGCAAAAUAAAUCAAAAUAUAAAAAAUUCAUUGUCUAGAGCAAACUAAGCUCUUGUUGGCUUUACUAUAAUAUUAUAAAAUAAGGUUAUAAUAUAUUUAAAAUUUUGACGUUAAACGUGUACGUAUAGAUUAAUUAAUAAUUGGUUAUAGGUAAAAUAAAUAAACAAAUUAUAUGGUACUUGAACUUUGAAGAAAGUAACAAUUAAUUUGUGAUUGAAAUUUAAUAAGUAAACAAUUUAGUCUUUAUAUUUUCAAAUUUGCAACACUUUGGUCAUUGUACUUCAUAAUUAACCUAGUUUAUAUUCAACUUAAUAUUUUAAUUGAUACUACAACUACUUAAAUAUACUAUCAAACACAUUUAAGAUACCAAGAAGAACUUACCCCAACCGUAAUUAAUUGAUAUGAUCUCAUCCAUUUCUACGAUUAUUGUAUUAAAAAAAAUACACUGAAAUGAAUAGUAAAGAAUAGAAUUUAAUAAUGGAAACAUGUCCCAAACACACACACUAACCCUACCAAAUCUCUUACCAAUUGACCACAAAUAAAGGCAUAUAUAUUUACAUGUUUAUAUACAUUUGAUUUUGGUCAUAAAUUUCAAUUUUGCAUUUUGUUCAUUUAUUAAAUUUUGCAAUGACCACGAACACUUAUAAUGCAUGUAAGUUAAAGCGACACUUGCAAAAAUGACAAAAUAAAUUAUAAUAAUUAAGUUCAUAGUACACACUUUAUUAUUUGUGAAAAUGACAAAAACGAAAUCUAGCUAACCCACAUAUCAAUAGAUAGAAUGUCACAAGUGUCAUCGUUACUAAUAUACGUUUGAUACACCUUAUACACGUCUAAUACACUUAAUACACCAUUUGAUAAACCUGAUACACUUGAUGCACCUGAUACUUUUUUAUACACUCGAUACAUUUUGAUACACAUUUGAAACAUUACUAAUAUAUGUUUGAUAUACAUGAUACACUGCAUAUACAUUUAAUAUUCUUCACUUAUACAAUUGAUUGAUUAAAUGCACCUGAUAUGCUUGGAGUCCUACUUAUAUCCUUAAUAUACUAUUGAUAUACACUUGUAAAUUUGGUUCAUAUACUUGAUAAUGAUUCACUUUAUUGAUAUGCUUUAACAAUAUAUUGUUGUUAUACUUGAUAAUGAUACACAAAGUUACACAAUUCAUAUACUUAAUAAUAUUAUAAUGAACUGCAUAAAAUUUAAAAAAACAAAAAAUUACGUAAUAUUAUAAUGAACUAAUACAUAUAAUAUAAGUUCAAACUAAGACAAAGUAAAACAAAAAAAAAUUAAUAUAAAAAAAUAAAACAAAAUAAUUUAGAAAGAAUAAAUAAUUUUUCUAGUAUAAGAAUAAACAAAUAAUUAUGGCCUUAAAAAAUGAAAGAAUAAAUAAUUAAGGAGUAGAGCAUUAAAAAAAAGAAGAUAAAUAAGUUAUUGAAUGGUAGUUUAGGAAUAAUAACAAAUUUACGAUGGAAAAGUGAGAAUUUUGUCAUAUUUACAAAAUUUUAAAAUAAUGUGCUAUAAUUGCUAUAUCAUAUUCUCAAACUGCUAUCCUAAUUUAAAAGACCAAAAACUUACGUAAUUGAUACAUUUAACAUAUAUAUAUAUAUAUAAUUAAAAAAUAAGUUAAUAAACAAAAUUUAAAAAUAUUUAUUAUUAACACUAUCUUCACGUUAAUGAAUACAAAAUGAUUCAUUUUCUAGGAUUGAAUAUUUUAUUAAAUACCGAUUUACGCAUGUUAAUUAGAUUCAAAGGCUUCCCAAUAUCUAGUUAAUUAAUGUUUGUAAAAGUUUCAUUUUCUUAUUAAAAAAUAAAUUAAUUAAUACAACUAAAUUUGAUUCAUUUUUAUAAAAAUAAUAAAACACCCAAAUAUUUACGAUUCAUGUAACAAAAUAAAAAAGUCCAUUAGAUUGAUUAAUUUUUUUUAAUUUUCUAGGUUUGUCCUUAGUGUUUUUUAAUUUCUUCAUUAUUCCUAAUUUCCAAUUUUUUUCUUCUCAUCUUUUCCAAUUUUUCUUUGAUAUUUUUUUAAUUCAUUAUCUUUGUUUUCAAUCCAUAAUCAAUCUUGUAAUUUUUUUUAAAAUUGUUAUUUGGUUAAAGAUGGUGUACGUAAUUUCUUGAACAAAAAUUGUUGAGAUCAAAUCAAUUAGUUUAGAUUUGGGUACACGAUCAAGUAUCAAUUCUAUAAAAUUGUAAAAGAUCUUGAAAAAAAAUCUUUGGGAGGAUGGUACAAAAAUGGUUGGGAUAUACCAAUAUAAAAAAUCUUGUUUCACGAUCUUCAACCAAGACCGUUUAGAUUUUAGGUAUCAUAAUCGUUUAGAUUUAGAUCUAUACAGUAUAUUUGGCAUUUUUGUAUUUUCAUUACAAACCUAUGGACUUUUUUUCGUUUUCAAAAUUAUUUUAUACACCAUAAAUAUUGGAUCAAUUUCUUAUAUUCUUAAAAAAAAAUCCCUCCAAAUUAUUUAUUUCUAAACUUCAAAGUGUUUGGGAUAUGUGCCACUAACCUUCAAAUUUUAAAAAAUAAAAAUGAAUUUUUUUUAUUAAAAUAAUUGGUUAUUUUUUAUAAUAAUUGGAAUUAAACAUAUGAUCAAUUUUCUUUUUUUUAAAAGAAAAAUCUACCCUCUCUCUUCCACUUUUUUUUUCUUUUUGUUUUCUUCUCCAACACAUGUGGAUCUAUAAAUAAAUAAAUAAAUAAAUAAAUAAAGCAAUGAAGGAGAAGAUCUUGCUAUUCACAAUAAUAAAUAAUAUUAAUAGAAUAUUAAAAUAUAGCUUCAUUAUUCAUAUAAGGCCACAAAGAAAGAAGUCAUAAUUAAAUGUCACAUGCUAUCCUAUGGUAAAUUUCGAAGCAUUUUCAUUUUUUUUACUAUUAUUGCAUAAAAAUAAAAAUAAAAUUGAAACGAAAAUGCCAACAAACUAUUCUUGCCAUCACGUUACAUAUAUAUAAAUAUACACACAUACAUGUCGACUUUAGAUCUAGUUUCCAUUUUAGUCUCAGUUUCAAGUUUGGUUUCAAUUUAGUUACUAUAUUUAUAUAAUUAUUUUAUUUAUAUCAUCAGUGUAAAAACAUCUAAAUUUUUAAAAUUUUAAAAAGUGAAAAAAGCGUUCAAAGAUACAUUUAUAGUGGUUAGUUUUGAGAAAAAUCGUUAAACUGUAAUUUCUCUAAACUGCAGUGCUUUUACUUGACUUUACUUUUUUGUUCGUUGUUGUUUUUUGGACUUAUCUCUAGACUUUCUUUUGGAUCAUCAUGUUAAUUUCUUGCACUUCAACAAAUGAAUAUAUUUGAUAGGAAUGAUGAGUGUGCUAAAAGCCUCUUCAUCUAAUGUGAAUGAUUGGGUGCACCAAACUGACCCAAGUUAUAUAUUUUAUUUUUAAAAAACCCUAAACUAGUGAAUAAUCUCAUAAUGAUCCAUGAACUAAAAACGGUAAAAAAAUAUUCUCAUUGAUUAAAAAAAUUUCACUAAUUUUCUCACCAACAAAACUAUUCAAGUUAUAACAUAAAAUUCAAAAAAAAAAAAAUCUUACAAAAUUCUAAAAUAAAAUUUUUAUUUAAACAUACUAAAACAAUAACUAACUAGUUAAGCAAAAUCAAUGUAUUUAAUUAUUAAAACACUCUACUUUUCAAAAUACAUUUAAAGUUUCAAAAGUUUCAAAAAUUAUCUUAAACUUAAAGAAAAAAAGUUUAAAAAAAUACAUUUUAUGUUAUACAACACAAAUUGUUAAUAUUGUCUUACUUUUCUAUUUUUUAUGCAUUAAAAAUAAAGAGAAUCAAUGAAAACAUCAAGAGAUUUUAGAACGUGAAUCUUUCUACUUGACCAACGUCUAAGUAUAAUAUGGUAAAAAUUUUAGUGUAAAAAUGAAUUGACGAGAGUAUUCUUUCUCACUUCUUUUUAGCGCAAGGAUUAAUUAUAAAACUUUUUAAAAAUUCACAAUUAUUUUUAAAAUAAAAGUUUAAUAAUUUUCCUUCACAAUUCACCCUAAAAGUAUUUUUGAAUUCUCUCCCAAAGUUAGGAGUCGGGGUGGGUGUGGGUAAUGUGUUUUGUAAUGUAAUGCCUAGAAUUUUGAACCCAGUGGGGAGUGGGUGUUGAUAUUAAUUCUUUCUGUCUUGUCCUCUCUCAACUUCGAUGUGGAUUGACAAGUCUUCUGCUACACAAUGUUCUGUCAUUUAUAUAAAAAGUCUUCAUUCUAAUUCCCAUGUUUACAUAUUUCACCUCAAACUCCCUUUCCAAACACUUGUUUGGAGCUAUAUAUAUCAACUUCAUUGCUAUAAACAUCAUCAUCAAGAUGUUUGAAGGAAGGAUAAUUAUAGUAUUGUAAUAGUUUUAGUAUUAUGAUAGUAUGCAUUUGAAAGAUUAUGAUAGUUAAUAUAUAAUGUACAUCAAACCCAUAAAUUUAUUUUAUUAAAUAGUUUUAUUAAUUGUAUUCGCUCAAUAAAUUUAUGAGUCGUAAUGUUUCAUGUUUUUUUUCAUGUGUAUAUAUUGCACAUCGAAUUAAAGAAGCUUCAUGUUCAUAUCAAUCAUUUAAGUUGUGAUUUUGUGUUUGCAUUAAUCUAUUUUCUUUCAUGCAUACAUAUUUGUCAUUAAAUACAAUAUUUAUUCCAUAAAUUUGUUAUUAAAUCAUUAUUUUUCUAAGCAUAUUUUUAGAGUGAUUUUCAAAAGCGUUUGUCUAAUUGCUUCUAAUCUAAAUAUUGUUGUCACAUGAUCACAAAAAAUGAGUACAAAAAUCUAUAUUACAUAAGUAAAUAUUUUCAAACUUUGAAAAGAGUUUAAUGAGUCAACUUAAAAAAAAUUAAACAAAAUACAGGAAGUACUAAUUUUAAUUAAAAAACAAUAAAAUUCAAGAUAAUUUUCUAUAAUUUAGUUAGAAAAGAAAACAUUUAUUAGCUGAAAUUAAAAUAUUUGGAUAAGAUAAGUCAAAAUAAUUUAAUUUAAAAAAACUACUUAAUUAAACAUAUUCAAAAUAGAUAUUUGUUGAAGGUAAAUAAAACAAUAUGUCAUUAUAAUUUUUUUGUGCAAAAAAAAUCUUAUUAUAAAUUAAUUUAAUUGAAAAAGAAGAAAAAAAAGUGAUGAAUGAAAGGCUUUUUCAAUUUUUUUAUUUCUAUGAAAAAGAGUUGGGGGAUUAUGGAAAAAAGUUUGUAUGGGUAAAGGAUUAGGGGAAUUAAGAUAGGAGUUUGUUCGGGGGAUUAUGGGUAAAAUUGGGUGUUACAGAAACCCUAAAACUACAGUUUCCAUAACAUGAACUCCAAAUAAGAAGGAGUUAUCAUAAUCUACUCCAAAUUUCGCAGAUUGUGUUUAUAUUUUGUGAGAAAAACAUGGUGUGCACGUUACCUCAAUAAUAAUUUUCAUAUCAUUCCAAAUUCAACAUCUUUACAAUUAUUGAGAGAAUGGCUUAAUUUAGUGACCAUGUUUGGCUAGUGAAUGGAACAUAACCAUGAUAGGAAAAUUGACAAAAUAUUAAAGAAAAUGAGGGUAAUAUAUAAAUGUUAUAUGAAUAAUAAUAUGGAAAAGAAUUUGAGUCCAAUUAAUUUUACUUUAGUGCUAAUUGUCUUCCAAGAUAGUACAUAUUCACUUUCUCAUAAAAGCAGUACCUCAUCAACAAGAUUUAACAAACUAUACUCUAUGUGGAAAUAAAUCGAACUUGAACAAAAGUUACAAAAGGGAAAAAUGUCUAUAAGAGAAAGUCAUUAUGAAUUUUUUUUUUUUUUAAAGUUUGAAUAAGAUGAAUGUUUAUAGAAACAAUUCAUGGUCAUUUGGAUAAUCGUGUCACUUCUUUAAAUUGGUUAUUUUUUUAAAAGAGAUGUGCAUUCACGAAACAAUGCAAUUUUAUGCAAAUGGUCAUGUACCAUUUCUUUCAAUAAUAAAUUUUGUCUUUUAGUGAUUCUUUUCUAUCAACAAAAAUAUUUUUUUUUAUUUUUGAGAAAACCCAUGGUUAUAAAUAUAUAAACUAUGAUUUUUUUAAUGCAUUUUAGUGUGUAUUUAAUCAUUCUUAUAAAUUAACGAGUGAUAUUUGAGUGUAUUUUGAUAUGCAUAUCUAUCUUUGUACAACUUCUUCUAAUCACCCACAUAUCACAUAUCAAAAAAGUAAUGAUUGGACAAUUUGAGAUGCUAUCAAAUAAGUGUUUGUAAAUUUGAUUUAAAAAAAUCAAAAUCUAAUAGUAAACCAAAGUAGGCAUGAGAUUUAAGUCUAAAAUAAACAAUAUUAUGGGAUUAUAAAAACAGGUAAAAUAAACCAUUUGUUUUCCCAAUGAGUUUGAGCCUAUAAAAGAUAACCUAUACCAAACCCAAAACCCCAUCCCUCAUUUCUCUUCGAAACAAAUCAUUUCAUAGAAAUUAAGAAAUGGGCUCUCUUACCAAAGUAAACCAAGGAAAACACCAACCACAUGCAGUGUUCGUCCCAUACCCAUCUCAAGGCCACAUAAGUCCCAUGCUAAAGCUUGCAAAACUCUUUCACCACAAAGGCUUUCACAUAACUUUUGUCAACACAGAAUACAACCAUAGACGUCUCCUUAGAUCCUGAGGUCCCAACUCUUUGGAUGGCUUGCCUGACUUUCAUUUCAGAGCCAUUCCCGACGGCCUCCCACCGUCCAACGGCAACGCCACCCAACAUGUUCCUUCACUCUGCUAUUCCACUUCCCGCAAUUGUUUGGCUCCAUUCUGUAGCCUCAUUUCGGAGAUCAACUCGAGUGGAACUGUUCCACCCGUUUCCUGUAUUAUUGGCGAUGGGAUCAUGACUUUCACUGUUUUUGCUGCCCAGGAAUUUGGUAUUCCCACUGCUGCGUUUUGGACGGCUAGUGCUUGUGGGUGCCUUGGAUAUAUGCAGUAUGCUAAGCUUGUUGAACAGGGCUUGGUUCCUUUUAAAGGUAUAAAUUAACUUACAAUCUACAGCUCUUGUUCGUUAUCGUUUUUAUUAUUUUCUAUCUGUCCUUUUUUUUCGUCCACUGAUUAUUUAUGCUGUAGUGAUUAGCACUGUGCCGCAAACAUAUCCUAUCAAUGCUUUUGAAAUUUUGACAUAUAAUUCCUAUAAUUACAUCCGUAGUAGCUUUGAAGAUAUUUUUGGGUAGAUAUCUAUUGAUGUAAUAAUAAUCACUGAUGAACAUUAAUUUUAUGUUUUUGAAUUGUUUGAUCUAAAAAGGAGCAUAUAGCUUAGCUUGGAUUGGCUUUUAUCUCGUUUUUAGAUUUAAAAAAUGAUGCAAUUUUACCUUAUAAGUUCUAGAAUUAAUUUUGAUUUAGUUAAAAUAUUUUUAAAUCUUACAAUUCCAUCUCUCAGAUUUUAAUUUUGUUCUUGGUUUUCAAGAUUUAAACUUCAAACUUUGGUUUUUGACUGUAUAUUAAUGAGGUGUUAAAUGUUUAUUAAUUAGUAUUAAAAGUAAUUGUGAGGUGAAAAUUUUAAAUUGAUUUGUUCUCCAGAUUUGAUAAUAAUAUUUUUUAUUAUAUAAUAAUUAAAAAAAUUCCAUGAUACAUGGAUUGAUUUAAAAGUAUAAGUUAUUGAUAAAAAUAAAUUUAAUAUUGUAUUAUAAUAGAGACUUAAACACACAACCUCUAUUCACCAGCGUGCCUCUGAUAUUAUCUUUAAUCGCCUGGAUAUAACAUCUUCUGCUCACAAAUUAAUUUGUAUUUCUUUUGUAGAUGAAAACUUCAUGACUAACGGGGAUCUAGAAGAAACAAUAGAAUGGAUCCCGCCAAUGGAGAAAAUUAGCUUGAGAGACAUUCCAAGCUUUAUCAGAACAACAGACAAAGACGACAUAAUGCUCAACUUUUUCAUCGAACAAUUUGAAACAUUCCCCAAAGCCAAUGCAAUAAUCAUAAAUACAUUUGAUUCCUUAGAGCACCACGUGUUGGAAGCACUUUCCUCAAAACUCCCUCCCAUUUACCCAAUUGGUCCAAUCAACUCAUUAGUUGCCGAGUUAAUCAAAGACGACAAAGUCAAGGACAUCCGUUCAAAUCUAUGGGACGAGCAAUCAGAAUGCAUGAAAUGGCUUGAUUCACAACAACCCAACUCAGUAGUUUACGUCAACUUUGGAAGCGUAACUGUGAUGUCUCCUCAACACUUGGUGGAAUUUGCAUGGGGACUUGCCAAUAGUGAGAAGCCCUUCUUGUGGAUCGUAAGGCCGGAUCUAGUGGAAGGGGAGACGGCAUUGUUGCCGGCGGAGUUUUUGGUAGAAACGAAAGAAAGAGGGAUGUUGGCGGAUUGGUGUAACCAAGAAGAGGUUUUGAAACAUUCUUCGGUUGGAGGGUUUUUGACGCAUAGUGGAUGGAACUCGACGAUGGAGAGUAUUGUGGGAGGAGUGGCUAUGAUAUCGUGGCCGUUCUUUGCAGAACAACAAACCAAUUGUCGUUAUUGUAAGACGGAGUGGGGAAAUGGGUUGGAGAUUGAUAGCAAUGUGAGGAGGGAGGAUGUGGAGAAGCUUGUGAGGGAGUUGAUGGAAGGAGAAAAGGGU